GACGAACGCUGGCGGCGUGCUUAACACAUGCAAGUCGAACGGAAAGGCCCUGCUUUUGUGGGGUGCUCGAGUGGCGAACGGGUGAGUAACACGUGAGUAACCUGCCCUUGACUUUGGGAUAACUUCAGGAAACUGGGGCUAAUACCGGAUAGGAGCUCCUGCUGCAUGGUGGGGGUUGGAAAGUUUCGGCGGUUGGGGAUGGACUCGCGGCUUAUCAGCUUGUUGGUGGGGUAGUGGCUUACCAAGGCUUUGACGGGUAGCCGGCCUGAGAGGGUGACCGGCCACCUUGGGACUGAGGUACGGCCCAGACUCCUACGGGAGGCAGCAGUGGGGAAUAUUGCACAAUGGGCGGAAGCCUGAUGCAGCAACGCCGCGUGCGGGAUGACGGCCUUCGGGUUGUAAACCGCUUUCGCCUGUGACGAAGCGUGAGUGACGGUAAUGGGUAAAGAAGCACCGGCUAACUACGUG
Molecule: ribosomal RNA, 468 nt
Filed under: uncultured bacterium
Lineage: Bacteria
Description: partial 16S ribosomal RNA
Rfam family: Bacterial small subunit ribosomal RNA
Source: RNAcentral